CAGAGAUGAAGGGAGGAGAUAGAUACAAGAGAAUAGACAGGAAGUAUUAUAUGGGUUGACCCAGAAACUGAGAGUGAUUCAGUAUUACAGUGCAAGUCUAGAGUGACAGAGUACUUUCCUCCCCUCCACUGCAAGGCUUUUCCCUUCCUCGGGUACUCUGGUUAUCCAUCUCUCCACUUCUGUCUUUCAUAGUGGCUCCACUGGUUGAUAUCUUUUCCCUCGUGUGUGUGUGUGUGUGUGUGUGUGUGUGUGUGUGUGUGUGUGUGUGUGUGUGUGUGUGUGUGUGUGUGUGUGUGUGUGUGUGUGUGUGUGUGUGUGUGUGUGCGUGUGCGUGUGCGUGUGCGCUUUCGGUUGUUUGUGUGUGUGUACUUGUUUUCUGUUCAGGGUCAAUGGAAGAUGAGGGUCACACCAAGUCAAACUCUUCCAGCUCAUCGUCUCUGCACAGGCAUAUGGACAGCCAUCACACUCAGAGGGGUCAUCUCAACUUCUCGCCCUUCGGUGCGGGGGCUGCACUCUAAGGCAUGGCGGGCGCGGGAGCACCCCUCACAUUAGGGACGGGGUGAUCCAGCAUCUGCGUGGAUGUGGGGGGGACGAGUGCGCCACCCUGGGGGAGUUACUCCGCUGGCGCAGGGCGCUGUGUGAGGGGCGGGCCGACUGGAGGCACCAACGGGAUGUCAACAGAACACCACAAACCCCACCCACCACACUGGUCAGGGCUAAUAGGAAGUCUUCUCCAUAGUGGGAGGAUGUCCAACCUGAAAUUCCCACUCUUGUCUGCCUCCUGCCACGCCCUCCUGCCCAUGUCUGCCACCCCAUUCGGCAAAGGACAGGUCUGAGAGAGAGGCAUUUCAUUGGCUAGGACCGCCCAACCCACAAGAGCAUUAACAGAUAAAGGAGGGAGAAAGGGAAUAGAGCAGCAAUCAGGAUCCAUUUCUCUCUCUCUCUCUCUCUCUCUCUCUCUCUCUCUCUCUCUCUCUCUCUCUCUCUCUCUCUCUCUCUCUCUCUCUCUCUCUCUCUCUAACAAGCUGGAUUUAGGCUAACAGAGGAGAGGACUGUACAUACAAUAGUUGCUAUGUGGAAUGAGGUUUGCCUAUGUGUUUUCUGUCUGUAGUAAAUCUGGUGCACGUUCUCUCUCUAUCAAAGCCUACCAUGCUGUUACUGCUUACGCAACAUCUCCCAGCCCAAACCCCAAAACAUGGUGCUGAUGUCACUCUGUGUGAUGUCAUAUGUGUCAGGUGUGUGAUGCACACUAGGAUGAAGCUGCCCCGGUCUAGACACUGAUCCAGGGUCUGUUUUUGUCUUUCCCCUCUGACGCUCAUGGGGAAGGUAAGUUGAUCCUAGAUCUGUGCCUAUGGGCACAACAGAACAUGUGUGUACCCUCCCCUCCAGACAUGUCUGAAGUUUACAAGCGAGCCAAGGCCUUUAAACAUCUCCUCUGUUGAACCUCACUGCUCUGGCUUACGGACCAGUUAUCAUCUCUAGGACCAGGAGGUUUUCCUGACCAUGUGAUCUGACCAGGGAAAACUCCUGUCUCUAGUCUUCUGGACUCCUUCAGGUAUCAGCUACCGCUUUAGCCUCAUGCUACAAGGUGCUUUAGGUGCUUCUGUAACCCUGGCAACAAUAGCUCAGUGUUCAGGGGUCAGGGAAACCUCAGCGAUAUCCCAUGGUGCACUUGUUUCAUCCCCAGCUAGCCAACGGCCUUUUGCUUUAGAGCAAACUGAACAGAACAUCCACAACAGUAAAAAAACAAAACACUGUACAGAUAUUACUGACUAGGCAAGACAAUAGCAGAGCUGUAUUUUACAACGAUGGCCAUAGUAGCUAGUUCAUGUAGCUAGAUCACCUGUGAUCAGACUGUAUCAAUGUCCUGUAAGGUUUUUACUGGGCUUAGUGCCAUACAACGUGACUCUAGGCCAGUCAACCUCAGCUAUGGCUGAUGUAUUUUACUGAUGUGUUUGUGUAGAGCACACAAACAGACUGAAUAAAGAACAGUGUAGAUGACCAACGCACAACUAUCUGUCGCAGUCCCUCAAUUAACUACUUAUCUAGAUUUAUUCUACAAACAUCUCAGAGAAAUAAGCUCUAAACCACAAUGGUACUUUCUUCAUAUUAGCGUCUCAUUUGAUAUGUUCUAUCUUGUGUAAAUCAAUGUUAGGAGCCUGUACACUUUUCUGUACAAUUCAAGGAUGCAACUGGAGCACAACAGAGUUCUCAUGCAGUGGCGGUUCUAGAUCAUUUCAACUGGGGGGGGCCAAGCUGGGGCCAGUUGUACUGUUAGAGAGGCCAGUUACAUUAGACGUUAUUGUUGUCAUAUCGUUUUCUUCACUGCAUUGCAGGCAUUAGCAGGCAAAAGACCAUAUUCAUAAUCAUCAUCGUUGCCACUGUCUACUAACGGAUGUAAAAAAAAGAAUGAUAUCAAAAAUGUGUAAAAAUUAUUUCAUACUCCACAUUUAGGGGGGCCACAAGGGGGUCCAAAAUUGUUGUCACAGGGGCAUUGACCCCCCCCCCCCCCCGCCAGAACAACUAGUGUUCUCAUGUAAAGCUAUCCCAUCCUCCUCAAUCACUCCCUUUAUUUCCCUCCCAAACCCUGCAAUAUCCCCAACACCCCCUCCAAGAUGCUGUAGGGGUCAGAGGGCAUUGCCAGGGUAACCUCCCUGUAAAUAAUGGCCUAUGUUUAAUUGUCAAAUGUUUUAAUUUACUAUAGCAGAAUAGCACAGAAAUGGGAAGAUGGAAAGGGAACUGGAGAAUUGUCUAUAUGGCAGAUGGAGAAUUAUAUGAAUGUCUUGGGUUUAAUGCAAUGACUGAGGCAAAGAGAAGAGGUUUAUUUUAUAAUGUGAACACCUUUUUUGCGGAAUGAUUGUCUACUACUAUGAAACUUCUUUAUACUGUAUUUAUUUAGUUUGUUUGUUUGUUUCCCUGCAACACCAUUGUAAGACAAUAUUCCAGUGGAGAAAGACUGAUGUUUCCAUCAUUUGUCUGAUGGUUGUUUGGAUGUUAAAUUGCACAAUAUUGAUGUGUGGUGUGGUGUCCACAUCGUAAAGGAGUAGCUAGAAGUUGCCCCUAACCACUGAUAUAUGAUCAGAUAUUUUAACAUCCCCCUAAUGGUUACGGUUAUGAUUUGGAAGGGUAAUCUAACCAUGGUAAUUGGAUGGGUGUGCCUCUGCAAGCCGUUUGAUCUUAGAAGAUUGGUUUGACUGUAAAAGCCAGGAAGUAUCAAUAGCUCUGAUUGAUUUCUCAUUUACACUGAUCACCCUUCAACAGUCUGAUUGAUCCUGAAUUAGAAAUUAGCAGUGCCAUCACUAGCGCGUCCCUGGUUGUUGAUUGAGCCGUGUGUGUGCGUGUGAGUGUGUGUGUGUAUGUGAUAAGAAACACUACAUUUUCUACAGAAAUUGGGCAAAGACCACAUCAAACAUUGACUAGGAGUGAGCCACUUAACCAGACCUUCUGAACACCCAAGCUCUGCUAACGACAAUGGAAUACAGUAUUUCAAAGUGAUAGUGUUAAGAUACCAUGUCUAUAUGUGAUUGGACGAUGCUUUAGGAUUGGAACGGAGGUGAAACAACACGUCUGGAUAGAACAAUACAGUUGGUCAUACUGUAGUUCUACAUCAUGUACAUAUGACUAUUGGACAGAGCUGCCACAGUGCACACAGUAUACACUACUUACAUUGAGACAGUACCAGUCAAUACCAGUAUCCUACACACAAAAUAAAUCACUUCAUAUAGGUAGGUGUACCACUCCUACUCCGAUGUGCUGAGGUCCACCACUAAACAGGGUUAAGGUUCGUCCUGUUUGUAUUGUGUCUAUUUAUCCCAUACUACUAUGAAUGAUUUAGUAAAGCAAUGAAAACAUGAUGAGGAUGAAGAGGUAUGGAUACUUUUUUAAGGCAUUUUAGACAGGAUGUUAGUUCUUUGUCUCUCUGCAUGAUCUGACCACUCAUCAUUUCCUCUUACCCACAUGCACGGCAGUUAACGCUUGAUAGUUGAAUAUCCUUUUACCCUUUACACUGUGAAUCACUGCACUGUCUCACACUGCCAUGUCACACGUACAUUUCACACUGCCAUUUCACACUGUCAUUUAAGACUGCCAUGUCUCCUAUGUGCUUGUCACCCUACGAUGUUUCCCCUUCCAAAGGAAACCUUAAAAUACAGUAAAAGCUACACACAUAUGUCCCCCAACCCCGAUCCCCAAUGUGUUUUCUGACUUCACAACUGACCUAAACAACUAGAUACUGCCAUUUUUCAUUCAUAGUCAGGUCUCCCUUUGUCAUGAGGUUCCUAGACCAGAUGUCUGGUGCUAAAGCCAGUGCAGAAGGGGCAUUUUACUGUUCUCAGUCCAUGUUCAGUAUUCCAAUGACACACUGUAUAUUUUAGCACAUAGGCAUAUCACAGCCUUGUUUUCAUAGUUGUUGUUUUCUUCCCCCUCUUUUUGUCAGACAUACAGUAUAUUUUACCUGUAUACAUUGUGUUUGUUGAAAAUCAGAAUUAUAUAUGCGUUGUUUCAUGUUUUGUUUCCAAUGUUUUAUAAAUGCCUGUACAGCAAUAAAGCACAAUUGUGCCCAUUCCCUUGUCCUCUAUAUCUCUCUGUGUGUGUGUGUGUGUGUGUGUGUGUGUGUGUGCGUGUCAAAGGACAAAUAGGGGGUGUGUGGUGUGAAAUGGAAAUGUGUUUUUGUUGCAUAUCCCACUCCCAAUGAGACACCCUCGGAGAGUGUGUUCAAGGCCAGGGAUCAGCCAUUAUUGACAGCGACCCUGGAGCA
This 4756-nucleotide long non-coding RNA is filed under the name Salmo trutta (river trout). RNAcentral's name for it is "lncRNA (ENSSTUG00000010226.1)". Lineage: Eukaryota; Metazoa; Chordata; Actinopteri; Salmoniformes; Salmonidae. The record is from RNAcentral.